RNAcentral lists this ribosomal RNA (789 nucleotides) under uncultured bacterium. RNAcentral describes it as "bacterial SSU rRNA". It matches the Rfam family "Bacterial small subunit ribosomal RNA", at positions 8 to 798 of the family's 1533-position model. The record is from RNAcentral.
AGAGUUUGAUCAUGGCUCAGGACGAACGCUGGCGGCGUGCUUAACACAUGCAAGUCGAACGGAAAGGCCCCUUCGGGGGUACCCGAGUGGCGAACGGGUGAGUAACACGUGGGUGAUCUGCCCUGCACUUUGGGAUAAGCCUGGGAAACUGGGUCUAAUACCGAAUAGGACCGCAUGCUUCAUGGUGUGUGGUGGAAAGCUUUUGCGGUGUGGGAUGGGCCCGCGGCCUAUCAGCUUGUUGGUGGGGUAAUGGCCUACCAAGGCGACGACGGGUAGCCGGCCUGAGAGGGUGUCCGGCCACACUGGGACUGAGAUACGGCCCAGACUCCUACGGGAGGCGGCAGUGGGGAAUAUUGCACAAUGGGCGCAAGCCUGAUGCAGCGACGCCGCGUGGGGGAUGACGGCCUUCGGGUUGUAAACCUCUUUCAGUAUCGGCGAAGCUCCAGGAUUUUUCUUGGGGUGACGGUAGGUACAGAAGAAGCACCGGCCAACUACGUGCCAGCAGCCGCGGUAAUACGUAGGGUGCGAGCGUUGUCCGGAAUUACUGGGCGUAAAGAGCUCGUAGGUGGUUUGUCACGUUGUCUGUGAAAACUCACAGCUUAACUGUGGGCGUGCGGGCGAUACGGGCAGACUGGAGUACUGUAGGGGAGACUGGAAUUCCUGGUGUAGCGGUGGAAUGCGCAGAUAUCAGGAGGAACACCGGUGGCGAAGGCGGGUCUCCGGGCAGUAACUGACGCUGAGGAGCGAAAGCGUGGGGAGCGAACAGGAUUAGAUACCCUGGUAGUCCAA